AUUGAACGCUGGCGGCGUGCCUAACACAUGCAAGUCGAGCGGCAGCGCGGGAGCAAUCCUGGCGGCGAGCGGCGGACGGGUGAGUAAUGCUUGGGAAUCUGCCUGUUAGUGGGGGACAACCCGGGGAAACUCGGGCUAAUACCGCAUACGCACUACGGUGGAAAGCCGGGGACCGCAAGGCCUGGCGCUAACAGAUGAGCCCAAGUCGGAUUAGCUAGUUGGUAGGGUAACGGCCUACCAAGGCGACGAUCCGUAACUGGUCUGAGAGGACGACCAGUCACACCGGAACUGAGACACGGUCCGGACUCCUACGGGAGGCAGCAGUGGGGAAUAUUGGACAAUGGGGGAAACCCUGAUCCAGCGACGCCGCGUGGGUGAAGAAGGCCUGCGGGUUGUAAA
Molecule: ribosomal RNA, 399 nt
Filed under: uncultured bacterium
Lineage: Bacteria
Description: bacterial SSU rRNA
Rfam family: Bacterial small subunit ribosomal RNA
Source: RNAcentral